Molecule: long non-coding RNA, 449 nt
Filed under: Chrysemys picta bellii (western painted turtle)
Lineage: Eukaryota; Metazoa; Chordata; Testudines; Emydidae
Description: lncRNA (ENSCPBG00000013870.1)
Source: RNAcentral
GGGCAGCAAAAAAGUUAGAGCUGGCCCUGCUACCAAGACCUAAAAUCAGGGUUACUUAUUUUUCCUGACAGAAUGGAUGGCACCCAGAACACCAAAAGCAGUACAAAGAAUGUGGUUCCUGUUUUAGGCAAUUGCAGGGUCACCAAGUUGUCAGAGACACACAGUGCCCUGAAUUCAGGACUUGACAGGGUGCAGAAACUGAAAGGAAUUAUCCGUUCUAUUAUAGUUACUACUUACAUCAAAUCUUCCAGAGCUUCAUUUGUCACAAAUUAUUUCACUGCAGGACUGUGUUCAUGCUGCCACUCAGUGGUAGCAAAGAGAUAGCUCAUCUCUGUCUAUCGAUUCCAUCUGCAUGCAACAGCUGCAGAUAAAGGACUAGACACUCUUUAACCAGGUACUGCCUGAAUAAUGCAUUAGCUGUCGAAUCUCGGUGAUAUUCAAGUAAUGUG